UGGGGAAUUUUGGACAAUGGGGGCAACCCUGAUCCAGCCAUGCCGCGUGAGUGAAGAAGGCCUUCGGGUUGUAAAGCUCUUUCGGCGGGGACGAAACGGUCCGUGACAACACCACGGACUAAUGACAGUACUCGCAGAAGAAGCACCGGCUAACUACGUGCCAGCAGCCGCGGUAAUACGUAGGGUGCAGGCGUUAAUCGGAAUUACUGGGCGUAAAGCGUGCGCAGGCGGCUCCUUAAGUCAGAUGUGAAAUCCCCGGGCUUAACCUGGGAACUGCGUUUGAAACUGAGGGGCUAGAGUGUGGAAGAGGGGGGUGGAAUUCCAGGUGUAGCAGUGAAAUGCGUAGAUAUGUGGAAGAACACCAGUGGCGAAGGCGGCUAACUGGUCCGGUACUGACGCUGAGGUGCGAAAGCGUGGGGAGCAAACAGGAUUAGAUACCCGAUGUAGUCCCUGAGCGGGCUGGCAAGGCGCAU
RNAcentral lists this ribosomal RNA (473 nucleotides) under uncultured bacterium. RNAcentral describes it as "bacterial SSU rRNA". It matches the Rfam family "Bacterial small subunit ribosomal RNA", at positions 355 to 825 of the family's 1533-position model. The record is from RNAcentral.